UGGUCAAGUUAUUAAGGGUGCAGGGCGGAUGCCUUGGCACUAGGAGCCGAUGAAGGACGUGAUAAGCUGCGAUAAGCUUCGGGGAGUUGCACGUAAACUUUGAUCCGAAGAUUUCCGAAUGAGGAAACUCACUUAGAGUAAUGUCUAAGUAUCAUUAAGUGAAUACAUAGCUUAAAUGAGGGGGAACUCAGGGAACUGAAACAUCUAAGUACCUGAAGGAAGAGAAAGAAAUUCGAUUCCGUAAGAUAGCGGCGAGCGAACGCGGAUUAGCCCAAA
RNAcentral lists this ribosomal RNA (276 nucleotides) under Clostridioides difficile. Its description in RNAcentral is "partial 23S ribosomal RNA". It matches the Rfam family "Bacterial large subunit ribosomal RNA", at positions 1 to 273 of the family's 2925-position model. The record is from RNAcentral. Lineage: Bacteria; Bacillati; Bacillota; Clostridia; Peptostreptococcales; Peptostreptococcaceae.